GUCCUCUCCUGCCACUUCCGUGGGUGCUGAGGGUAGAGGCUGGGGGCGGCGCCGACCUUGAGAGCGCGCGAGGGAGGCGCAGGCGCAGCACAGGUAGAUGGGCGGGCGGCGCCCGGUGCAGCGCCAGUGAGGAGCCGGAGGCUGCCCCUUCUUGGAGCCUUGCCGGAUCUCCGCAGACCUGGCUGUCCCUGUGUCGUCCUUUCACCUGCCUUAGUGUGCCCUGCAGCUCUCCCCUUCCGCAGGGCAGUGGAAUUUGAUCGUGAGACGUCUCUUCACUGUUCCCGCAGACCAGUGGAAACCAGAAGAACACGGAGCAAGAGCAGAGAAACCAGGACAGUUCUGCCUACUUAAGACAUUCCAGUAUGGACGGUUUCCUUUUAUUUAAAAAAAAAAAAAAAACUAUAUAGAUCAUCGGCUGGGAAAAAAGUGAAACUCCUUUGCACCCCUUAAAUUUGUGUUGUCGGGUUUCCCCUCCCCCCCCAAAAAAAAAUCUGUGCGCUUCAACUCUGUGCCUUUUUAUGUGGUCAUAAGGCACAGUCCUGGAGGCGUGCUUGAAGUGGAUAUACAGAAAACCUUGAACCCAGAAUCUAGUCUCGCAACUUGGGGAUCCGUGCUUAAGACGUGGCUGUAUCUACAAUUUCAUUUAUAGGAUCUCCUUUUGCCGCUGUCUAGUUUUGCCCCAAAGGUGGAAUUGGGAAGGUAAAGUAGGAGACUUCCCAAGAAGUCAAAAGUUUGGGCAGGCAGCGGGGGCUAGAGGUGUUGUUGCACCCUGCUUGUCAGGGUACCUGGAGAGCAUGGCAGCCAAUCCACGAGUGGUCGCAGGGCCCUUGGAACCACUUCUGAGCCAUCCGCAAAGAAGCAUCCAUAAGGCAAAUUGUUUUAUAAUAGAAAAGGGGCUAGAGACUGAGUGUAUGAGUUGUUUUUGACUCUUAAAUUUUCUCUUGGGGAGAGAUGAAUAAUGUGACAGACUAGAGAAAGGACCUUGGAAGCAGCAGGCGGUGGGGUGGGGCUGGGAGAUAGUUUGUGAGACAGACCUGCUGAGAAUCCAUCCAGAACUUCCCCGAGGGUCCUACCUCUGCUGGAUAGGGACGACGCUGUAAAUAGCCCCAGGGCAUCUGCAGAUGCUAAGCGUGGUAGAGAAGGACUGGAGUCGUUCUGCUUGUGUAUCUGCGGGAAGCAGCUGCUAUCCUUGAGGAAGAAAAGGUGGAGAAGGAACCUGGCUAUCAGUCUGUCAGUGACAACACACUGUGUGAAGUCUUACUCUUUCAUUUCUGACACUUUGGUUCUUACAUCCGUCCUAAACCUGGCAGCCUCCUUGAGGUUCACAAAGCCUCUCCUCCAUGUGACAGUAAGACAGGAAUUAUCAGGGUGGAAUCCAUUCCUGCCAGAGUAAAACCACGAAAGGAAAUCACAGCCCGUAUUUGUUACCUGCUUAUGAUUUUUAAAAGAUCAUGGGGUUCCUUAUUUGGCAUUUGACAAGUUGAAAAUAACCCUCCGUUAAUAUCCUUUAAUAUUCCAGUUUCUGUUACAGUAUGAAAAAUCUGUUACAAGUGACGUUUUUUUAAAAAGAUUAAAAUGUAUACCAUGUAUGUUUAAAGGCA
Molecule: long non-coding RNA, 1601 nt
Organism: Nyctereutes procyonoides (raccoon dog)
Lineage: Eukaryota; Metazoa; Chordata; Mammalia; Carnivora; Canidae
Exons: 2
Source: RefSeq, a predicted model, not a curated record